This 500-nucleotide ribosomal RNA is filed under the name uncultured bacterium. Its description in RNAcentral is "partial 16S ribosomal RNA". It matches the Rfam family "Bacterial small subunit ribosomal RNA", at positions 29 to 523 of the family's 1533-position model. The record is from RNAcentral.
AUUGAACGCUGGCGGCAUGCCUUACACAUGCAAGUCGAACGGCAGCACGGGAGCAAUCCUGGUGGCGAGUGGCGAACGGGUGAGUAAAGUAUCGGAACGUGCCCAGUCGUGGGGGAUAACGUAGCGAAAGUUACGCUAAUACCGCAUACGAUCUAUGGAUGAAAGCGGGGGAUCGCAAGACCUCGCGCGAUAGGAGCGGCCGAUAUCAGAUUAGGGAGUUGGUGGGGUAAAGGCUCACCAAGCCGACGAUCUGUAGCUGGUCUGAGAGGACGACCAGCCACACUGGGACUGAGACACGGCCCAGACGCCUACGGGAGGCAGCAGUGGGGAAUUUUGGACAAUGGGCGAAAGCCUGAUCCAGCCACGCCGCGUGCAGGAUGAAGGCCUUCGGGUUGUAAACUGCUUUUGUACGGAACGAAAAGGUUUGGCCUAAUAAGCUGAGCUCAUGACGGUACCGUAAGAAUAAGCACCGGCUAACUACGUGCCAGCCGCCGCAGUAA